Long non-coding RNA from Piliocolobus tephrosceles (Ugandan red Colobus), 1610 nucleotides. RefSeq lists it as uncharacterized. The transcript has 2 exons. The record is from RefSeq and is a predicted model, not a curated record. NCBI's taxonomy places the organism in Eukaryota, Metazoa, Chordata, Mammalia, Primates, Cercopithecidae.
CUCAAAAAAAAAAAAAAAAGAAAAGCAGCUUUGAGGGGAAGUCCUCCCAGUGGGCAGGAGCAUUGGGUGGUGCUCCUGGCCAUCCACUCUGUGUGGAGAGAGAAGUAGCCUGAGGUUGGAAGAUACUCAUUUUCAUGGACUGUGGUGACUGUUUUGCCCAGUUGAUCAGGGGCCUAAAACAGAAAGAUUGGAAGAUUGGGCACUAAGAAGCUUAGGGUAAAGGCACGUGGCUGGACCAAUGAGAGAAGACAAAGUGUGAAGAUGUACGUAUCAAAUGUGAAUGCCCACCAGAAAACAUCCAUCACAGAAGAGGCACUAAACAACCAGGUGGACAAAAUGACUUGGACAGAUGUCAGAGACGUCAGUCAGCCUCUUUCAUGGGCCACCCUAAAACUAGUACAAUAAGCUUAGGAAGGAGUGGCCACAGUGGCAGUGAUGGAGGCCACACAUGGGCUCCCACCGACCAAGACUGAUCCAGCUACUGAUGUUGCCAAAUGUCCAGUAUGCUAGCAACAGAGCUCACUGCUGAGCCACUGAUAUGGCACUAUCCCUGAAGGAGACCUUGGUGGCUAGUUGACUACAUAAGGUCCCUUCCAUCCUGGAAGGGCCAGAGAUUUGUUUGAACAGUGAUAGACACGUAUUUCAGUUCAAAACAGAUCUUAAAGCAGCGGAGACCACACGCAAUAUCAACAACAUGUUUGGUGCAGGAACUGCUAACAAACGUGCAGUGCAGCCGUGGUUAAGACGUUUUGCAAAAAGAUGAGAGCCUUGAAGAUAAGGAGCGUAGUGGCCGGCCAUGGGAAUUUGACAAAGAUCAACUGAGAGCAAUCAUUGAAGCUGAUCCUCUUACAACUACACAAGAAGUUGCCAAAGAACUCAACAUUGACCAUUCUACAGGUCAUUCAGCAUUUGAAGCAAAUUGGAAAGGUGAAAAAGCCUGAUAAGUGGGUGCCUCAUGAGCUGAGCGAGAAUAAAAAACAUCGCCGUUUUGAAGUGUCAUCUUCCCUACUCUACACAACAACAAGCAAUUAUUUCUUGAUCUGAUUGUGACGUGCGACAAAAAGUGGAUUUUAUGCGACAACCAGCAAUUACCAACUCAGUGGUUGGACGGAGAAGAAGCUCCAAAUUACUUCCCAAAGCCAAACUUGCACCAAAAAAAGGUCAUGGUCAUUGCUGCCAGUCUGAUCCACUAUAGCUUUCUGAAUCCUGGCGAAACCAUUACAUUGGGGAAGCAUGCUCAGCAAAUCGAUGAGAUGCACCGAAAACUGCAACUCCUGCAGCCAGCAUUGGUCAACAGAAAGGCCAAAUUCUGCUCCAUGAGAAUGCCUGACUGCAGGUUGUAGAACUAAUACUUCAAAAGUUGAAUGAAUUGGACUACGAAGUUUUGCCUCAUUCUCCAUAUUCACCUGACCUCUUGCCAACUGACUACCGCCCCUUCAAGCAUCUCGGCAGCGUUUUGCAGGGAAAACGCUUCCACAACCAGUAGAAUGCAGAAAAUGCUUUCCAAGAGGUCGUCGAAUCCAAAAGCAUGGAUUUUUAUGCUACAGGAAUACAAACUUAUUUCCCAAUGGCAAAAAUGUAUUGAUUGUAAUGGUUCCUAUUUUGAUUAA